CCUACGGGUGUGGCUGCAGUGGGGAAUAUUGGACAAUGGGCGAAAGCCUGAUCCAGCCAUGCCGCGUGUGUGAAGAAGGCCUUCGGGUUGUAAAGCACUUUCAGUGGGGAAGAAAGCCUUGGGGCUAAUACCCUCGAGGAAGGACAUCACCCACAGAAGAAGCACCGGCUAACUCCGUGCCAGCAGCCGCGGUAAUACGGAGGGUGCGAGCGUUAAUCGGAAUUACUGGGCGUAAAGCGCGCGUAGGCGGUCUGAUAAGCCGGUUGUGAAAGCCCCGGGCUCAACCUGGGAACGGCAUCCGGAACUGUCAGGCUAGAGUGCAGGAGAGGAAGGUAGAAUUCCCGGUGUAGCGGUGAAAUGCGUAGAGAUCGGGAGGAAUACCAGUGGCGAAGGCGGCCUUCUGGACUGACACUGACGCUGAGGUGCGAAAGCGUGGGUAGCAAACAGGAUUAAUACCCUAGUAGUC
Molecule: ribosomal RNA, 466 nt
Filed under: Vreelandella stevensii
Lineage: Bacteria; Pseudomonadati; Pseudomonadota; Gammaproteobacteria; Oceanospirillales; Halomonadaceae
Description: partial 16S ribosomal RNA
Rfam family: Bacterial small subunit ribosomal RNA
Source: RNAcentral